UGCGUAGGCGGCGUUAUAAGUCAGAGGUGAAAGCUUGCAGCUUAACUGUAAAAUUGCCUCUGAUACUGUAGUGCUUGAAUCACGUUGAGGUCGGCGGAAUGUGACAUGUAGCGGUGAAAUGCAUAGAUAUGUCAUAGAACACCAAUUGCGAAGGCAGCUGACUAGGCGUGUAUUGACGCUGAGGCACGAAAGCGUGGGUAGCGAACAGGAUUAGAUACCCUGGUAGUCC
Molecule: ribosomal RNA, 229 nt
Filed under: uncultured bacterium
Lineage: Bacteria
Description: partial 16S ribosomal RNA
Rfam family: Bacterial small subunit ribosomal RNA
Source: RNAcentral